AGUCUGCCGCCUGGGAAGUACGNNNGCAAGUAUGAAACUUAAAGGAAUUGGCGGGGGAGCACNNCNAGGGGUGAAGCCUGCGGUUCAAUUGGAGUCAACGCCAGAAAUCUUACCUGGGGAGACAGCAGAAUGAAGGUCAAGCUGAAGACUUUACCAGACACGCUGAGAGGUGGUGCAUGGCCGUCGCCAGCUCGUGCCGUGAGAUGUCCUGUUAAGUCAGGUAACGAGCGAGACCCCUGCGUCUAGUUGCUACCAUUACUCUCUGGAGCAGUGGAGCGAAUUGGACGGACCGCCACAGUUAAUGUGGAGGAAG
Molecule: ribosomal RNA, 313 nt
Filed under: uncultured archaeon
Lineage: Archaea
Description: bacterial SSU rRNA
Rfam family: Archaeal small subunit ribosomal RNA
Source: RNAcentral